RNAcentral lists this long non-coding RNA (432 nucleotides) under Numida meleagris (helmeted guineafowl). RNAcentral's name for it is "lncRNA (ENSNMEG00000012971.1)". Lineage: Eukaryota; Metazoa; Chordata; Aves; Galliformes; Numididae. The record is from RNAcentral.
UCUUUUACAGAGCCUCACUUUACUUUUUGUUUCCCCAGACCUGUCCCCUUGCUAUCCAGCAGUACAUAAUCAGCUCUAAUUACUCAAAUACAUGAAAAUGGAGGAGGAAUCUCUGGUCUGAUUCUUGAACCCAAAAGGCUGAUCAAGAAAGUCACAAACAAGAGUACAGCCGUGUGCCUUGAUGGAAGUAAACUGCGAUACAUGGAAUUAAUUUUAACGGGCCAGACGCAUGCCUCAUCUUGUAAUGAUGGUGAAGAGUUGCAGUGACCACAGCUGGAAUGGGUGCCUGUGACACGGAAGCUCCACUGUCAUUCUUUGAUUUGAGCUUUUGAAAUCACACUUUUGGAGGACACAGAGAAGUAAAGCAUUAAUACAAGUGAAUUUGGAGAGUAAAAAGAGUCAAACCCAAGGAACAAGUCAUUGUGAUGUGGC